Molecule: small nuclear RNA, 107 nt
Organism: Dromiciops gliroides (monito del monte)
Lineage: Eukaryota; Metazoa; Chordata; Mammalia; Microbiotheria; Microbiotheriidae
Source: RefSeq, a predicted model, not a curated record
GUGCUCGCUGUGGCAGCACAUAUACUAAAAUAGGAACGAUACAGAGAAGAUUAGCAUGGCCCCUGCACAAGGAUGACACGCAAAUUUGUGAAGCAAACCCAAACCAA